RNAcentral lists this ribosomal RNA (441 nucleotides) under uncultured bacterium. RNAcentral's name for it is "partial 16S ribosomal RNA". It matches the Rfam family "Bacterial small subunit ribosomal RNA", at positions 339 to 795 of the family's 1533-position model. The record is from RNAcentral.
CUACGGGAGGCACCAGUCGAGAAUCUUCCGCAAUGGGCGAAAGCCUGACGGAGCAAUGCCGCGUGAGGGACGACGGCCUUCGGGUUGUAAACCUCUGUCACCCGGGACGAAUCAAUGACGGUACCGGGAGAGGAAGCCACGGCUAACUACGUGCCAGCAGCCGCGGUAAUACGUAGGUGGCGAGCGUUAUUCGGAUUUACUGGGCGUAAAGGGUCCGCAGGGGGUUUGCCAAGUCUGAUGUGAAAUCUCCCGGCUCAACCGGGAACCUGCAUUGGAAACUGGCGAACUUGAGUACAUGAUGGGAGAGCGGAAUUCCUGGUGUAGCGGUGGAAUGCGUAGAUAUCAGGAAGAACACCGAUGGCGAAGGCGGCUCUCUGGCCAGGUACUGACGCUGAGGUGCGAAAGCGUGGGGAGCAAACAGGAUUAGAUACCCCUGUAGUC